UACGGAGGGAGCAAGCGUUGUCCGGAAUUACUGGGCGUAAAGGGGGCGUAGGCGUCUCAAUAAGUUGGGUGUGAAAUCCUUCGGCUCAACUGAAGAACUGCACUCAAUACUGUUGGGAUUGAGCACGGAAGAGGUGAGCGGAACUCCCAGUGUAGCGGUGAAAUGUGUAGAUAUUGGGAGGAACACCAGUGGCGAAGGCGGCUCUCUGGUCCGUUGCUGACGCUGAGGCCCGAAAGCUGGGGGAGCGAAC
This 250-nucleotide ribosomal RNA is filed under the name uncultured bacterium. Its description in RNAcentral is "partial 16S ribosomal RNA". It matches the Rfam family "Bacterial small subunit ribosomal RNA", at positions 524 to 773 of the family's 1533-position model. The record is from RNAcentral.